AUAGUUUAUGCUAGGGAGACACCAUGAUCUGGAAGGUGGUUUUCCCAGGGUAAUUGUCUCUGAUAUGUCCUCCAUAGGAGGUCUAUAUUGAGCAGAUUCUUUUUGGUAUUGGGUGGUGGAACCGGAGCGUGCUCCAUCCACUC
Molecule: small nuclear RNA, 143 nt
Filed under: Crocodylus porosus (Australian saltwater crocodile)
Lineage: Eukaryota; Metazoa; Chordata; Crocodylia; Crocodylidae
Description: U1 spliceosomal RNA (ENSCPRG00005018761.1)
Source: RNAcentral